This 198-nucleotide unclassified non-coding RNA is filed under the name uncultured Trechisporales. Its description in RNAcentral is "sequence contains ITS1". The record is from RNAcentral. Lineage: Eukaryota; Fungi; Basidiomycota; Agaricomycetes; Trechisporales.
ACGUAUCUCUGGAACGGGUGGUGGUGCGCCCUGCUCCGGCCCAAACGGCCGUGCAGCGGGUGCCCGUCCCCGUCCACACCUCACAAACCCACUGUGAACCUCAACGGCGGAGGGGGGGGUUUAACCCUCCCGACGCCGCAUACCAAACUCCAGUUGUAAAGAAUGUCGUGCGGACCAUGUGCCGCCUAAAUCAUAAAA